GCACCCUGAUCCAGCAAUGCCGCGUGAGUGAUGAAGGCCUUAGGGUUGUAAAGCUCUUUUACCCGGGAUGAUAAUGACAGUACCGGGAGAAUAAGCUCCGGCUAACUCCGUGCCAGCAGCCGCGGUAAUA
Molecule: ribosomal RNA, 130 nt
Filed under: uncultured bacterium
Lineage: Bacteria
Also listed under: 1 other name
Description: partial 16S ribosomal RNA
Rfam family: Bacterial small subunit ribosomal RNA
Source: RNAcentral